UACGUAGGGUGCAAGCGUUAAUCGGAAUUACUGGGCGUAAAGCGUGCGAAGGCGGCUUUGCAAGACAGAUGUGAAAUCCCCGGGCUUAACCUGGGAACUGCAUUUGUGACUGCAUGGCUGGAGUGCGGCAGAGGGGGAUGGAAUUCCGCGUGUAGCAGUGAAAUGCGUAGAUAUCUGGAGGAAUACCGGUGGCGAAGGCGGCAUCCUGGACCAUUACUGACGCUGAAUCGCGAAAGCUAGGGGAGCAAACGGG
This 253-nucleotide ribosomal RNA is filed under the name uncultured bacterium. RNAcentral's name for it is "partial 16S ribosomal RNA". It matches the Rfam family "Bacterial small subunit ribosomal RNA", at positions 524 to 776 of the family's 1533-position model. The record is from RNAcentral.